UAGAGUUUUGAUCAUGGCUCAGAUUGAACGCUGGCGGCAGGCUUAACACAUGCAAGUCGAGCGGUAACAGAUCCAGCUUGCUGGAUGCUGACGAGCGGCGGACGGGUGAGUAAUGCAUAGGAAUCUGCCCAGUAGUUGGGGAUAGCCCGGGGAAACCCGGAUUAAUACCGAAUACUCCCUACGGGGGAAAGCAGGGGAUCUUCGGACCUUGCGCUAUUGGAUGAGCCUAUGUCGGAUUAGCUAGUUGGUGGGGUAAUGGCUUACCAAGGCGACGAUCCGUAGCUGGUCUGAGAGGAUGAUCAGCCACUGGGGCCUGAACACGGCCCAAACUCCUACGGGAGGCAGCAGUGGGGAAUAUUGGACAAUGGGGGCAACCCUGAUCCACCAUGCCGCGUGUGUGAAGAAGGCUUUCGGGUUGUAAAACACUUUCAGGAGGAGGAAAACCUUACUUAAUACCAGUGAGGCUUGACGUUCCUCACAGAAGAACCACCGGCUAAAUCCUGCCACUGCCGAGGUAAUUCCGAGGGUGCAACCCUUAAUU
Molecule: ribosomal RNA, 541 nt
Filed under: Marinobacter sp. SP06
Lineage: Bacteria; Pseudomonadati; Pseudomonadota; Gammaproteobacteria; Pseudomonadales; Marinobacteraceae
Description: bacterial SSU rRNA
Rfam family: Bacterial small subunit ribosomal RNA
Source: RNAcentral